Molecule: long non-coding RNA, 394 nt
Organism: Hibiscus syriacus
Lineage: Eukaryota; Viridiplantae; Streptophyta; Magnoliopsida; Malvales; Malvaceae
Exons: 3
Source: RefSeq, a predicted model, not a curated record
CUUCGCUUUGCCUCUCUUUGGUCUUUCAAUAAAAUAGAGCAGAAAGGUAAAACCCAAAGCUUGAAAACCAUAAAAAAUGGUUCAAAGACUCACUUAUCGGACUCGCCAUAGCUACGCUACCAAAUCCAACCAACACCGUGUGGUUAAGACCCCUGAUUCCUCACUUGAGACCUGCUGAAUACAUGAGGUCUAGGUUGCCGAGGAGUCGCCAGACUGUGAAUUGUGGUUAUGGUGGUGUUUUGUCAGGUAGUGCUAUCCGGGAGAGGAUAAUUCGAGCCUUCUUGGUCGAAGAGCAGAAGAUUGUGAAGAAAGUUCUGAAGAUCCAAAAGUCCAAGGAAAAGCAAGCUUCAAAGAGCAAAAAAUUUAGAUGUUGGUUGUUAUUGAACUGAAUUUU